GUAAGGAAUAUUGGUCAAUGGACGAAAGUCUGAACCAGCCAUGCCGCGUGAAGGAUGAAGGCCCUCUGGGUUGUAAACUUCUUUUAUCUGGGACGAAAAAAGGGUAUUCUUACUCACUUGACGGUACCGUAAGAAUAAGCACCGGCUAACUCCGUGCCAGCAGCCGCGGUAAUACGGAGGGUGCAAGCGUUAUCCGGAUUCACUGGGUUUAAAGGGUGCGUAGGUGGGUAUUUAAGUCAGUGGUGAAAUCUCCGAGCUUAACUCGGAAACUGCCAUUGAUACUAUUUACCUUGAAUGCCCUGGAGGUAAGCGGAAUAUGUCAUGUAGCGGUGAAAUGCUUAGAUAUGACAUAGAACACCAAUUGCGAAGGCAGCUUACUACGGGGUGAUUGACACUGAGGCACGAAAGCGUGGGGAGCAAACAGGAUUAGAUACCCCGGUAGUCC
This 445-nucleotide ribosomal RNA is filed under the name uncultured bacterium. Its description in RNAcentral is "partial 16S ribosomal RNA". It matches the Rfam family "Bacterial small subunit ribosomal RNA", at positions 354 to 796 of the family's 1533-position model. The record is from RNAcentral.